This is a long non-coding RNA of Mauremys reevesii (Reeves's turtle), 1396 nucleotides long. RefSeq lists it as uncharacterized. Lineage: Eukaryota; Metazoa; Chordata; Testudines; Geoemydidae. The transcript has 2 exons. The record is from RefSeq and is a predicted model, not a curated record.
UUUGGCUUAGGAGGAAAGGACUUGGUUUAUCUUUACUGUAGAUUAGCAAAGUUUAUCAAGGUGUUCCAACUCUCCGCUCUAUUAUUCCACAACAAAAUCCAUUUGAGAUGAUUGCUUAUGCAGACAACCCUCUAGAGCAUUGAUAUGUGGAGCAAAUUUAGCAUCCAUAGUUACUGCGCCUGACUGAAGUCAAUCUUUUAGGUUAGAUUAAAGCUGUAUUCUUAACAAGUGCCAGAGAAGAGCGAUAGGCCAAGAGGUGCUGAGACAGCUUUCAAAGAUGGUAGGCUGCCAACUUUAUUGCCUGUCUGCUGAAGAGGAUCUUUAGAAAGAAGAGAAAAACCUUGGCUGACCACCUUUUAAAUCAGUGGUUCUCAAUCUUUUUUCUUUUGCGGACCCCUAAAAAAUUUCAAACUGGGGUGGAAAUCUUAGAUGUAGUCUGCGGACCCCCAGGGGUCCACAGACCACAGAUUGAGAACCAGUAUUUUAGACUGUAUCAAAGAUAGUAAUUUGGGAAAAAGAAAAGACGUGAGUUGAGGUGAACUGGAGCUGCCAUUGUUGCUAUUGUUGUUAAAGUCCAAACCCAUUUCCUAGAAAAUAAAACAAGAAAAACACACAAAAGGGGAAAGGAAAGAACAGUAAAGAUAGAAAAUGCAGCUUCUAUCACUGAUGUUGACUCUCAUUUGAAACCUUAUUGCUGGAAAAACACAAGCCCAGCCCAUGAUCUUAUCAGCCACUCUGAGACCUGACAAACUUGUAUCAUCAUCAGGUUGUCAAGGGCAUUGCUUUUAUCUGCAUCUCUGAUCACAAGUUUACUGCCGUGUUAUAAAAUAUGCAAUCUUGGCUGACCAAGCCAGACUCUUAUUAGACAGAUGGCAAAAAGAGAAGGGUAAAAGAUAGAAGAAAUAAGGUGAAGAAGGAAAAGAAGAUACUAAAGAGCAGGUAACGAAGUCUCACAUCCCACUGGUAUUCAGGAUUCAGCCAGAGCCAGUGGAAGUGGCAAAGUCAUCUGGGUCCCUCUCUCUGCCCCGGGCUCAUGAGAACAUUUCUCAGGAUCACAACAAAGAAGGUACAAUGGUCUCCUGGUGGAUCCUGUGGUCCCAGGAGAUGGUGGAGUUGGCAGCCAUGAUGGUGAUGCUCAACUCUUCCCCAUUUUUCAGUCAGCCAGUGUCAAGGUAGCCUCUGCUAAUUUUCACCCCACAAAGUCUCUUUCUGAGGACCCCAAAAGGAAGAGAUGAGUGGAGUAGCCCAUCCCCUCAUUAUUAUAUCUAUCAGUUAGGCCUAAUUUCCAAUACAUCAGUUUUGGUUAAUUGAUUUUCAGUCCCACACUUCUUUUGUUUACCAAGCAUGAUCUUAGCACAGUCCUUGAAUUAUAUCUAAGCCUUUUUGUUUGGACUAA